RNAcentral lists this ribosomal RNA (1349 nucleotides) under uncultured Psychroflexus sp. Its description in RNAcentral is "bacterial SSU rRNA". It matches the Rfam family "Bacterial small subunit ribosomal RNA", at positions 28 to 1378 of the family's 1533-position model. Lineage: Bacteria; Pseudomonadati; Bacteroidota; Flavobacteriia; Flavobacteriales; Flavobacteriaceae. The record is from RNAcentral.
GAUGAACGCUAGCGGCAGGCUUAACACAUGCAAGUCGAGGGGUAACAUUGUAGCUUGCUACAGAUGACGACCGGCGCACGGGUGCGUAACGCGUAUACAAUCUACCUAUUACUAAGAGAUAGCCCAGAGAAAUUUGGAUUAAUAUUUUAUAGUAUUAUCGAUUGGCAUCAAUUGAUAAUUAAAGAUUACGGUAAUAGAUGAGUAUGCGUCCUAUUAGCUUGAUGGUAAGGUAACGGCUUACCAUGGCUACGAUAGGUAGGGGUCCUGAGAGGGAGAUCCCCCACACUGGUACUGAGACACGGACCAGACUCCUACGGGAGGCAGCAGAGGAAUAUUGGACAAUGGGAGCAAUCCUGAUCCAGCCAUGCCGCGUGCAGGAAGACUGCCCUAUGGGUUGUAAACUGCUUUUAUACAGGAAGAAAAAGGUUCACGUGUGAACUGUUGACGGUACUGUAGGAAUAAGGAUCGGCUAACUCCGUGCCAGCAGCCGCGGUAAUACGGAGGAUCCAAGCGUUAUCCGGAAUCAUUGGGUUUAAAGGGUCCGUAGGCGGGACAAUCAGUCAGUGGUGAAAGUUUGCGGCUCAACCGUAAAAUUGCCAUUGAUACUGUUGUUCUUGAGUGCUUGUGAAGUGGUUAGAAUGAGUAGUGUAGCGGUGAAAUGCAUAGAUAUUACUCAGAAUACCGAUUGCGAAGGCAGAUCACUAACAAUUCACUGACGCUGAUGGACGAAAGCGUAGGUAGCGAACAGGAUUAGAUACCCUGGUAGUCUACGCCGUAAACGAUGGUUACUAGCUGUUCGGACUAAUUGCGGUCUGAGUGGCUAAGCGAAAGUGAUAAGUAACCCACCUGGGGAGUACGUUCGCAAGAAUGAAACUCAAAGGAAUUGACGGGGGCCCGCACAAGCGGUGGAGCAUGUGGUUUAAUUCGAUGAUACGCGAGGAACCUUACCAGGGCUUAAAUGCAGUUUGACAGGGGUGGAAACAUCUUUUUCUUCGGACAAAUUGCAAGGUGCUGCAUGGUUGUCGUCAGCUCGUGCCGUGAGGUGUCAGGUUAAGUCCUAUAACGAGCGCAACCCCUUUGUUUAGUUACCAGCAUGUAAAGAUGGGGACUCUAGACAUACUGCCAGUGUAAACUGUGAGGAAGGUGGGGAUGACGUCAAAUCAUCACGGCCCUUACGUCCUGGGCUACACACGUGCUACAAUGGUAGGGACAGAGAGCAGCCACUGGGUGACCAGGAGCGAAUCUACAAACCCUAUCACAGUUCGGAUCGCAGUCUGCAACUCGACUGCGUGAAGCUGGAAUCGCUAGUAAUCGCAUAUCAGCCAUGAUGCGGUGAAUACGUUCCCGGC